CCUUUCUUCUUACCUCCCCUGCACCUCUGCCUUGGGGGUGGGGGGAUAGAGGCAUGGAAUAGGUGCUCUGACCUCUGACCCUCUAGCCCAGGGAGAAGGUGAGCAGUAUUGAUUUGGAGAUCGACUCUCUGUCCUCACUGCUGGAUGACAUGACCAAGAAUGAUCCUUUCAAAGCCCGGGUGUCAUCUGGAUAUGUGCCCCCACCAGUGGCCACUCCAUUCAGUUCCAAGUCCAGUACCAAGCCUGCAGCCGGGGGCACAGCACCCCUGCCUCCUUGGAAGUCCCCUUCCAGCUCCCAGCCUCUGCCCCAGGUUCCGGCUCCGGCUCAGAGCCAGACACAGUUCCAUGUUCAGCCCCAGCCCCAGCCCAAGCCUCAGGUCCAACUCCAUGUCCAGUCCCAGCCCCAGCCUGUGUCUUUGGCUAACACCCAGCCCCGAGGGCCCCCAGCCUCAUCUCCGGCUCCAGCCCCUAAGUUUUCUCCAGUGACUCCUAAGUUUACUCCUGUGGCUUCCAAGUUCAGUCCUGGAGCCCCAGGUGGAUCUGGGUCACAACCAAAUCAAAAAUUGGGGCACCCCGAAGCUCUUUCCGCUGGCACAGGCUCCCCUCAACCUCCCAGCUUCACCUAUGCCCAGCAGAGGGAGAAGCCCCGAGUGCAGGAAAAGCAGCACCCCGUGCCCCCACCGGCUCAGAACCAAAACCAGGUGAGGGAUGGUGAUAGGACAAGGCUUGG
Molecule: long non-coding RNA, 730 nt
Filed under: Pan troglodytes (chimpanzee)
Lineage: Eukaryota; Metazoa; Chordata; Mammalia; Primates; Hominidae
Description: long non-coding RNA NONPTRT015916
Source: RNAcentral